GAUGAACGCUGGCGGCGUGCCUAACACAUGCAAGUCGAGCGAGAAAUAAAGAACUGACGCUUCGGUAGAUGUUCUUUAUGGAAAGCGGCGGACGGGUGAGUAACGCGUAGGCAACCUGCCCCGUACACAGGGAUAGCCUCGGGAAACCGGGAUUAAUACCUGAUGAUGCUAUUUUGCUACCUGGCAGACUAGUCAAAGAUUUAUCGGUACGGGAUGGGCCUGCGUCUGAUUAGUUAGUUGGUGAGGUAACGGCUCACCAAGGCAACGAUCAGUAGCCGACCUGAGAGGGUGAUCGGCCACAUUGGAACUGAGACACGGUCCAAACUCCUACGGGAGGCAGCAGUGGGGAAUAUUGCACAAUGGGCGCAAGCCUGAUGCAGCAACGCCGCGUGAACGAAGAAGGCCUUUGGGUCGUAAAGUUCUGUCCUUGGGGAAGAAACAAAUGACGGUACCCAUGGAGGAAGCCCCGGCUAACUACGUGCCAGCCGCCGCCGUAACAC
This 500-nucleotide ribosomal RNA is filed under the name uncultured bacterium. RNAcentral's name for it is "bacterial SSU rRNA". It matches the Rfam family "Bacterial small subunit ribosomal RNA", at positions 28 to 526 of the family's 1533-position model. The record is from RNAcentral.